CAGCCCUGUUUUAGCCACACAGUGGUGUCUGAUGCACUUCACCAAAGCAAAUAAAGCAGCGACACUCGGCCGCGGAACUGACCACGGCUGGCGGUACUGUGACGGCCUGGGGUCCAGCCUGCCUCCGAGGAGGUGUCGCAGUCAGUGACCCCCACACGCCCCUCCUGUGUGGGUGACUUGGGGGAAGGUGCAGCUGAUGAAGGACACCCUCCCUGUUGGGCCUGACUCUGCACAGCCUGCAAAAAAUUAAAGCUCGCAGAAGAUUGGAAAGACCGACUGAAGGCCUGGCCUCGGCCUCCAGGAAGCCCCCAGACGGAGCCCCGCCACCUGGUGCUGCUCCUGGGCUAGCUCAUGGGGCCUCUGGGAGGAAACGCGACAGGAGAGUCCCCUGGGGGCUGGCAGCUCCCGCCUCCUGCUUUGGCCCCUUCAGGGAGCUCAGGCCAGCAAGGGUGGAAGGUAGGUCAAGGGCUCAUGCUGAAGGCCAAAGGCACUGCUGAUAUUCUUUGAAAUAAAGGAAGGUAAUAAAGAGGAACAAGAGACAUUUGAAGUGUUGUCAGGCCUUGACACCAGCACGGGAAGCAGGAGGGUACAGUCUAGCUGCCUGGGUCUGCGGUUCCCAGAGCUCCUCUGUCCCCAGCUGGGGGAGGCUCUCUUGUCCAGUCCUGUGAGGCUGGCCUUCACCACAUCCCCGGACAAUCCCAGGACUGGAGGAAUCCUCUUGGUGCUCCUCUGGCUGCUCACUUUCCCGACAGUAGCCAGGGCUGCGAUGCCACCACUGAGAGGAGGCUACUCAAACAGACCCUGGGGAGGCCCGCGUGACAAGGAUGGUGUCUUGGUCAGCUCGGGCUGCCGCAGCAGCACCACAGCCUGCGUCUUGAACAACAGAAAUGUCCUCUUCAAAGCUCUGGAGGCUGGGGAGCCCAGGGUGCAGGUGCUGGUCCCCUUGUGUCUGGGAGGGUCCUCAUUGUGUUAGAAGCCGUGAGACAGUUCUUGGGGCCCCUCUCAGGUGGGCACUAAUCCCAUUCUUGAGAGCUCCACCCUUGUCACCUAGUCCUCUCCCAAAGCCCUCCUCCACCCAAGUCCUCAUCUUGGGGGUGGGAAUUUCAACAUAUGGACCUAUGAACUUGAGGGAUGUGAGCAUUCAGCCAUCGUGCAUGGGAAGGACUGACCAUGCCGUCCCUCAGAGACCCACUUCCAGAAGUCUCUGUCAGGAAGGAGGGGAGGACAAAUAGAGCCAGCCCUCUAGGGUCAGAUUGGACCUGGGCUUUGAGGGGCCAGGGUGGCAGGACAUUGUUGGAACCCGAGGAGGGGGUGUGGGCUUGCAGAGGACACUUUGCUGCAGCUCCUCCCACUGACCACCAACGUCUGUGGCACGGGGCAGGCCAUGGGGACCCAUGGGGACAGAGGCACAGCCAUCCUGCACUCUUAGGCAUUUUAAAAUCCUCUGUGACAUAUUGUGUUUGAGAGGGCUCUAGUGGACUUCUGAGGCAUUGCUACAGGGAGUACCUUCUUGGGAAGGCAGCGAUUCAGGGGACUUCAGGGCUGGAGGCUGAGUUAAGAACUGUCCUGGCCUUCCCUGCAGACCACCAGGAAGCAGACUGAGCUACUGGGGGCAAGCUUGGUGGGGCUGCUCAGACCAUCACUCUCCUGCCCCUAAAGCAUCUUGACUAUUUUCUGAGGGCUCGUUGUGUAAUAAAUAUUCUAUCAGCAAAAUACCAAAAAACAUUUUAAAACAAUGUGUAUGCAUACAAAAAAGCAAGGGAAUGGUAUGACCAACACGCACGUUCUCACUAUUCAAAUUUGAAAAUGUUCAAAAGCUUGUGUUGUAGCUUGUGCUGUGCACCUUUAAUUAUUAGGGACUGCACAUCAAAACCCCGAGACACCAUGUCAUACCCACAGGUCUGCGGAGCACCAAGAAGCCAGGUACCAGGGAGCUGUUGAGGAUGGAAUGAGGCCAUGUUCUCUGUGGUGUGGAUGGGAACUAGCACAGCCUCUCUGGAAAACAGUGGCCCUUCCUCAGAAAACAGAGUCACCCUGUGACCCAGCAGUUCCACUCUAGGUAAAUGCAAGAGAAAUGAAAACCUGUGUGCAUACAAAAACUUGGGCACAAAUGUUCACAGCAGGACUGUCCACCAUAGCCCAAAGGUAGAAGCACCUUGAAUGUUCAACAACUGGCAAUGGACGAAGGAAACAUGGGCAUCCUUGCAACGGAAUAUCACUCAGCCAGGCAAAAGAAGACAGCCCCGAUCUGCGCUGCAACCCAGCUGAUCCCAACGGUGUUCAGCUGAGCGACAGAAGCUAGCUGCAAGAGGCCACAGACUGUAGGAUGUCAUUCACAGCAAAUGUCAGGAUCAGGGGAAUCAGGAAAAAACAGAAAGUAGAUUAAAAGUGAGAUAGGUUGUGGCGGCUAAAGGAUACAGAGUGUCUUUACAAGGUGAUGCAAAUGUUCUAAGUUUGUGGCAAUUACUGCAUGCAUCCAUGAAUAUCCUCCAAACCACUGAAUUGUAUACAUUCAAUAAGGGAAUUGUAUGUCUAUGAAUUAUACCAUAAUUGGCAGUAAGUUACUUGUAGAAGUUAUAUUCUCUUCUAGUUAUAUUCUCUUCUAUUUUAUAAAUGACAAAUAAAAACUACAUGCAUUUAUAAUGUACAACAUGUCUUGAUACAUGUACGCACCAUUGAAUGGCUAAAUCAAGCUAGUUAGCACACACAUUGCCCCAUAUAUUUAUUAUUUUUGUAGUGAGAAC
Molecule: long non-coding RNA, 2744 nt
Filed under: Marmota monax (woodchuck)
Lineage: Eukaryota; Metazoa; Chordata; Mammalia; Rodentia; Sciuridae
Source: RNAcentral